Molecule: long non-coding RNA, 519 nt
Organism: Athalia rosae (coleseed sawfly)
Lineage: Eukaryota; Metazoa; Arthropoda; Insecta; Hymenoptera; Athaliidae
Exons: 2
Source: RefSeq, a predicted model, not a curated record
GAGGUGUUUCAAGGAGGACUGCGUAAGUUGGGGUCAGCGAAAUGGGAACAGGGUACCCAAUAACAGGCAACGUGUGGAACAACCGGAAAUCAAAAUGUCGAAUAUUCUCGAGGUAACUAUAGUUUAUAUGAAAACAGCCACUGUCUAGGAAAGCAAGAAGUAAUAAACCGUCAUCCAUUCGUCUCAUCGGCCAAUCAUCGCCAGAUAUUGCAUCCAACCAGAGUCUUCCAUCCAACAAUGCUUCGAGAUGGUAAUUCGUCAACGCGAAUACAAAGCUUAAUCCAACGCGUUCAAAGUUCUGCGCAUCUUGCAGGUCCAAGAGAAUAAAAUACUUUCCAAUGAUUCAAAGAUCAAGGGGGGAAUCCCCAUUUCCCAAAAUUUCAAUUUAGGGAUCAGUAAAUUUCAACUACAAAAAGUAUGCGUACAUGCAAGGACAUGUACUUUUCUCCGUCAAAAGUUUUAUAUACAAAUGCAUAGAGAUUAUAUUGAAAUUGUGGUAAAUAAAUACACCUAUACGGA